Molecule: ribosomal RNA, 342 nt
Filed under: uncultured bacterium
Lineage: Bacteria
Description: bacterial SSU rRNA
Rfam family: Bacterial small subunit ribosomal RNA
Source: RNAcentral
UCUGGGCGUAAGCGUGCGCAGGCGGUUGUGCAAGACCGAUGUGAAAUCCCCGGGCUUAACCUGGGAAUUGCAUUGGUGACUGCACGGCUAGAGUGUGUCAGAGGGGGGUAGAAUUCCACGUGUAGCAGUGAAAUGCGUAGAGAUGUGGAGGAAUACCGAUGGCGAAGGCAGCCCCCUGGGAUAACACUGACGCUCAUGCACGAAAGCGUGGGGAGCAAACAGGAUUAGAUACCCUGGUAGUCCACGCCCUAAACGAUGUCAACUAGUUGUUGGGGAUUCAUUUCCUUAGUAACGUAGCUAACGCGUGAAGUUGACCGCCUGGGGAGUACGGUCGCAAGAUUA